GAUGAACGCUGGCGGCGUGCCUAAUACAUGCAAGUCGAGCGAACGGACGAGAAGCUUGCUUCUCUGAUGUUAGCGGCGGACGGGUGAGUAACACGUGGAUAACCUAUCUAUAAGACUGGGAUAACUUCGGGAAACCGGAGCUAUUACCGGAUAAUAGUUUGAACCGCAUGGUUCAAGAGUGAAAGACGGUCUUGCUGUCACUUAUAUAUGGAUCCGCGCUGCAUUAGCUAGUUGGUAGGGUAACGGCUUACAAAGGCAACGUUGCAUAGCCGACCUGUGAGGGGGACGGGCAAAACGGGACCUGGGACAGGCUCCAGACUCCUACGGGAGGAACAAGGAGGGAAUCUUCCGAAAUGACCGAAGGCCUGACGGACAAACGCCGCGGGAGUAAGAAGGCUCUCCGGAUCGAAAGACCUUGUUAUCAGGGAAGAACGUAUGUGUAAGUAACUGUACACAAAUUGACGGUACCUAAUCAGAAAGCCACGGCUAACUACGUG
RNAcentral lists this ribosomal RNA (497 nucleotides) under uncultured bacterium. Its description in RNAcentral is "partial 16S ribosomal RNA". It matches the Rfam family "Bacterial small subunit ribosomal RNA", at positions 28 to 507 of the family's 1533-position model. The record is from RNAcentral.